AUUCAGGAGCCGUGCGGGUAUGUGCCGCCCAACCCCGCCAGGUCCGGAAGGAAGCAACGGUAAGCGGACGCAUACGGCGCCGCGGAUUUCUUGGAUACG
This 99-nucleotide signal recognition particle RNA is filed under the name Spirochaetaceae bacterium. RNAcentral's name for it is "signal recognition particle sRNA small type". It matches the Rfam family "Bacterial small signal recognition particle RNA". Rfam says of the family: The signal recognition particle (SRP) is a universally conserved ribonucleoprotein involved in the co-translational targeting of proteins to membranes. Archaeal SRP consists of a 7S RNA and homologues of the eukaryotic SRP19 and SRP54 proteins. Lineage: Bacteria; Pseudomonadati; Spirochaetota; Spirochaetia; Spirochaetales; Spirochaetaceae. The record is from RNAcentral.